This 1481-nucleotide ribosomal RNA is filed under the name Limosilactobacillus fermentum. RNAcentral describes it as "bacterial SSU rRNA". It matches the Rfam family "Bacterial small subunit ribosomal RNA". The record is from RNAcentral. Lineage: Bacteria; Bacillati; Bacillota; Bacilli; Lactobacillales; Lactobacillaceae.
AGAGUUUGAUCCUGGCUCAGGAUGAGCGCCGGCGGUGUGCCUAAUACAUGCAAGUCGAACGCGUUGGCCCAAUUGAUUGAUGGUGCUUGCACCUGAUUGAUUUUGGUCGCCAACGAGUGGCGGACGGGUGAGUAACACGUAGGUAACCUGCCCAGAAGCGGGGGACAACAUUUGGAAACAGAUGCUAAUACCGCAUAACAACGUUGUUCGCAUGAACAACGUUUAAAAGAUGGCUUCUCGCUAUCACUUCUGGAUGGACCUGCGGUGCAUUAGCUUGUUGGUGGGGUAACGGCCUACCAAGGCGAUGAUGCAUAGCCGAGUUGAGAGACUGAUCGGCCACAAUGGGACUGAGACACGGCCCAUACUCCUACGGGAGGCAGCAGUAGGGAAUCUUCCACAAUGGGCGCAAGCCUGAUGGAGCAACACCGCGUGAGUGAAGAAGGGUUUCGGCUCGUAAAGCUCUGUUGUUAAAGAAAAACACGUAUGAGAGUAACUGUUCAUACGUUGACGGUAUUUAACCAGAAAGUCACGGCUAACUACGUGCCAGCAGCCGCGGUUUUCUAAGUCUGAUGUGAAAGCCUUUGGCUUAACCGGAGAAGUGCAUCGGAAACUGGAUAACUUGAGUGCAGAAGAGGGUAGUGGAACUCCAUGUGUAGCGGUGGAAUGCGUAGAUAUAUGGAAGAACACCAGUGGCGAAGGCGGCUACCUGGUCUGCAACUGACGCUGAGACUCGAAAGCAUGGGUAGCGAACAGGAUUAGAUACCCUGGUAGUCCAUGCCGUAAACGAUGAGUGCUAGGUGUUGGAGGGUUUCCGCCCUUCAGUGCCGGAGCUAACGCAUUAAGCACUCCGCCUGGGGAGUACGACCGCAAGGUUGAAACUCAAAGGAAUUGACGGGGGCCCGCACAAGCGGUGGAGCAUGUGGUUUAAUUCGAAGCUACGCGAAGAACCUUACCCAGGGUCUUGACAUCUUGCGCCAACCCUAGAGAUAGGGCGUUUCCUUCGGGAACGCAAUGACAGGUGGUGCAUGGUCGUCGUCAGCUCGUGUCGUGAGAUGUUGGGUUAAGUCCCGCAACAAGCGCAACCCUUGUUACUAGUUGCCAGCAUUAAGUUGGGCACUCUAGUGAGACUGCCGGUGACAAACCGGAGGAAGGUGGGGACGACGUCAGAUCAUCAUGCCCCUCAUGACCUGGGCUACACACGUGCUACAAUGGACGGUACAACGAGUCGCGAACUCGCGAGGGCAAGCAAAUCUCUUAAAACCGUUCUCAGUUCGGACUGCAGGCUGCAACUCGCCUGCACGAAGUCGGAAUCGCUAGUAAUCGCGGAUCAGCAUGCCGCGGUGAAUACGUUCCCGGGCCUUGUACACACCGCCCGUCACACCAUGAGAGUUUGUAACACCCAAAGUCGGUGGGGUAACCUUUUAGGAGCCAGCCGCCUAAGGUGGGACAGAUGAUUAGGGUGAAGUCGUAACAAGGUAGCC